This 424-nucleotide ribosomal RNA is filed under the name uncultured bacterium. RNAcentral describes it as "bacterial SSU rRNA". It matches the Rfam family "Bacterial small subunit ribosomal RNA", at positions 339 to 760 of the family's 1533-position model. The record is from RNAcentral.
CUACGGGAGGCAGCAGUGAGGAAUAUUGGUCAAUGGGCGUAAGCCUGAACCAGCCAAGUCGCGUGAGGGAUGAAGGUUCUAUGGAUCGUAAACCUCUUUUAUAAGGGAAUAAAGUGUGGGACGUGUCCUAUUUUGUAUGUACCUUAUGAAUAAGGAUCGGCUAACUCCGUGCCAGCAGCCGCGGUAAUACGGAGGAUCCGAGCGUUAUCCGGAUUUAUUGGGUUUAAAGGGUGCGUAGGCGGCCUUUUAAGUCAGCGGUGAAAGUCUGUGGCUCAACCAUAGAAUUGCCGUUGAAACUGGGGGGCUUGAGUAUGUUUGAGGCAGGCGGAAUGCGUGGUGUAGCGGUGAAAUGCUUAGAUAUCACGCAGAACCCCGAUUGCGAAGGCAGCCUGCCAAGCCAUGACUGACGCUGAUGCACGAAAGC